This 1032-nucleotide ribosomal RNA is filed under the name Triticum aestivum (bread wheat). RNAcentral's name for it is "partial small subunit ribosomal RNA". The record is from RNAcentral. Lineage: Eukaryota; Viridiplantae; Streptophyta; Magnoliopsida; Poales; Poaceae.
AUGGGCCACCACCUUGAUCCGGCGAGCAAGGCACCACCGGAAACCCUCACCAUCACCAAGGAUGGGAAGGAGGAGCAGAUCGCCAAUUUCGCCCGAGUUCUCUGGUAUGCACAGCAACAACAGGUUCAGAGUUUUCUGAUGGGUUCUCUGUCUCGCGAGAUUCUUGCACAGGUGGUUACCCUUCAGACACCGGCGGAGGUGUGGGCGGCGAUCGAAGCUAUGUUUGCUGCCCAAACCGAAGCACAGGCGAUCAAUACUCGGAUGGAACUCACAAACCUCAGGAAGGGUAACAUGUCCAUGUCAGAGUACUUAGCCAAGAUCAAGAUGCUCACGGAUGAGAUCGCCUGCACCGGAGCUGCCAUGUCCAGAGGCGAGAUCGUCUCCCAAGUUCUGGCCGGCCUCGACCUCGACUACAACCCGGUCGUGUCGGCGCUUGCUACGCGGGUUGAACCCGUGACCGUCCAGGAGCUAUACACGCAGCUUCUCAGUUUUGAUGCAUGCCUCAAUCUUCUCCAUGGGAUGAACGUGCACCAGUCUUCGGCUAACGCCGCCUCGCGUGGCCGUGGUACUGGCCGUGGGCGCGAUCAGGGAAGGAACCGCAGCAACAGCAGCGGUGGUGGCGGGCGCGGCCGCGGCAGCGGACCAGGUGCUCGAUCCGGCGGGGGCGGCUACACCAGCACCAACGCUCCUGCCCGUUCUGGAGGGGGUGGCUUCAACAACAAUCACACCUCCUCUGGACCUUCCUCAAGCAACCGUGUUCGGUGUCAAUUGUGCAAGAAACCGGGCCAUGAGGUCAUGGACUGUUGGCAUCGUUAUGAUGAAGACUACGUUCCUGACGCCCGUCAUGUCGCUGCCGCAAUCAGAGAGCAAGGAGGAGAUGGCACAGUCUGGUACGCCGAUUCAGGGGCCACUGAUCAUGUCACCAACGAGCUUGAAAAACUCUCCAUGAGGGAGAGAUACCUCGGCAAUGAUCAAAUUCACACUGCAAGCGGUGGAGGAUCGGGCAACGAGGGAGCUCAUUCAUCACGAUAG